CCUUUUGGUUGCCAGGACCUGACCCUUAAGCUGCUCUCCGAAUUUGAGAACAACCGUGAACAGGUGUUGCCUCUACCUCUCCACAGUUAGUGGUAGGAUACGUAACAUUCUGCGCCGAUCCUCAAUCAAGUAGGAUGAGCUUGGCCCGCUCAAUCGCGACAACCGGCUCGGCCGUUGCCUCGGCCUUGACACGCAAGUGGAAGGGCGGACAAAGACCGACGCUGGACGUCAACGAGGACGUG
RNAcentral lists this unclassified non-coding RNA (242 nucleotides) under Lolium perenne. Its description in RNAcentral is "partial external transcribed spacer". The record is from RNAcentral. Lineage: Eukaryota; Viridiplantae; Streptophyta; Magnoliopsida; Poales; Poaceae.